GACGAACGCUGGCGGCGUGCCUAAUACAUGCAAGUUGAGCGCUGAAGGUUGGUACUUGUACCAACUGGAUGAGCAGCGAACGGGUGAGUAACGCGUGGGGAAUCUGCCUUUGAGCGGGGGACAACAUUUGGAAACGAAUGCUAAUACCGCAUAAAAACUUUAAACACAAGUUUUAAGUUUGAAAGAUGCAAUUGCAUCACUCAAAGAUGAUCCCGCGUUGUAUUAGCUAGUUGGUGAGGUAAAGGCUCACCAAGGCGAUGAUACAUAGCCGACCUGAGAGGGUGAUCGGCCACAUUGGGACAGAGACACGGCCCAAACUCCUACGGGAGGCAGCAGUAGGGAAUCUUCGGCAAUGGACGAAAGUCUGACCGAGCAACGCCGCGUGAGUGAAGAAGGUUUUCGGAUCGUAAAACUCUGUUGGUAGAGAAGAACGUUGGUGAGAGUGGAAAGCUCAUCAAGUGACGGUAACUACCCAGAAAGGGACGGCUAACUACGUG
RNAcentral lists this ribosomal RNA (497 nucleotides) under uncultured bacterium. RNAcentral's name for it is "partial 16S ribosomal RNA". It matches the Rfam family "Bacterial small subunit ribosomal RNA", at positions 28 to 507 of the family's 1533-position model. The record is from RNAcentral.